GAUGAACGCUGGCGGCGUGCCUAAUACAUGCAAGUCGAGCGAACGGACGCGAAGCUUGCUUCUCUGAUGUUAGCGGCGGACGGGUGAGUAACACGUGUAUAACCUCCCUAUAAGACUGGGAUAACUUCGGGAAACCGGAGCUAAUACCGGAUGAUAUUUUGAACCGCAUGGUUCAAAAGUGAAAGACGGUCUUGCUGUCACUUAUAGAUGGAUCCGCGCUGCAUUAGCUAGUUGGUAAGGUAACGGCUUACCAAGGCAACGAUGCGUAGCCGACCUGAGAGGGGGGUAGGCGACACGAGAGCGGGGACACGGACCAGGCGACUGAGGGAGGGAGCAGUAGGGAAUGGUACGCAAUAGGCGAGAGUCUGACGGAGCAACGCCGCGUGAGUGAUGAAGGUCUUCGGAGCGUAAAACUGUGUUAUUAGGGAAAAACAGAUGUGUAAGGAGAUGAGGAGAGCGUGACGGUACCGAAUAAGAAAGCAACGGCUAACUACGUG
RNAcentral lists this ribosomal RNA (497 nucleotides) under uncultured bacterium. RNAcentral describes it as "partial 16S ribosomal RNA". It matches the Rfam family "Bacterial small subunit ribosomal RNA", at positions 28 to 507 of the family's 1533-position model. The record is from RNAcentral.